CUCCGCUUAGCUCAGCUUGGUAGAGCAUCUGCUUUGGGAGCAGAGGGUCGGUUUGGGUUCGAAUCCCAGCGGAGACCA
Molecule: transfer RNA, 78 nt
Filed under: Nitrososphaerota archaeon
Lineage: Archaea; Thermoproteati; Nitrososphaerota
Description: tRNA-Pro
Rfam family: tRNA
About the family: Transfer RNA (tRNA) molecules are approximately 80 nucleotides in length. Their secondary structure includes four short double-helical elements and three loops (D, anti-codon, and T loops).
Source: RNAcentral